This 253-nucleotide ribosomal RNA is filed under the name uncultured bacterium. RNAcentral's name for it is "partial 16S ribosomal RNA". It matches the Rfam family "Bacterial small subunit ribosomal RNA", at positions 524 to 776 of the family's 1533-position model. The record is from RNAcentral.
UACGUAGGGGGCAAGCGCUGUCCGGAUUUAUUGGGCGUAAAGCGCGUGUAGGCUGCUUGGUAAGUCUGCUCUGAAAGCCCGGGGCUCAACCCCGGGAGGCGGGUGGAUACUGUCAAGCUCGAGUCCGGAGGAGGAGUGUGGAAUUCCUGGUGUAGCGGUGAAAUGCGCAGAUAUCAGGAGGAACACCGGUGGCGAAGGCGGGUCUCUGGGCAGUAACUGACGCUGAGGAGCGAAAGCGUGGGGAGCGAACAGG